Molecule: long non-coding RNA, 10531 nt
Filed under: Podarcis lilfordi (Lilford's wall lizard)
Lineage: Eukaryota; Metazoa; Chordata; Lepidosauria; Squamata; Lacertidae
Source: RNAcentral
GACAAGCACACCUGACACUUUCUCAAAAUUCCAAAUAUGGCCACUGACUCAAAAAGCUUGGCGACCCCUGAGCUACAGAGACCAACAGGCCCUGAUUAGCCUUCCUAGCCCCUCUCUUCAGUGGGUUGUGACUAGGUCUUCAAGAGGUCCACAUUCUGCCCUGGAGCCUUGCCUUCUAUGGUGUUCUGUUUCUAGGCCUGCUGUCACUUCAGCCAAGGAUCUACAAGGGAGUAUGGAAUCCUGGGCAGAAGGUUGGUUCAUGGAUUUUCCUGAGGGCAGGAGCUACUUGCCCAGGUGAUCAGCGUAACCGUCAGGAACUAGGUGCAACAUCUGGCCUUUUCUCACAUGGAGGUCCAUGGUCCCCCAUUCUUCAGGUAGAACUGCCUUUUCCCUUUUGAAACAGGUGCUUCCACAUUGGGUUUGCCAAGCAGGUCUAGGAAGAUAAGAGUUGAUUCUCAAAGGAUACUACAAAUCCUGGUGCUUGAAGCAGUUUGGUUCAAGCAGUUGGUUUUGUGCUCAUGGGACAGUUUGUGUUUCAGGAGAAUGGGUUUGGAACCACUUGUCCUAUCGGACACUUAUUCUGAAUAUAUUUAUUACCUAUCAUGAUUACUUGAAUGUAUUGUCACAUUGAUAUGGUGCAAUUUAUUGAUCUAUGCUUGGAUAGAUUCCUUCCUUCCUUCCUUCCUUCCUUCCUUCCUUCCUUCCUUCCUUCCUUCCUUCUACCACUUAGCCAUUACGGCCAAGAGGCAAAUGGCUACCAUUGGUGUGCCCAAGGAUUUCUGCAUACCUGGUGGAAUCUCUGACUUUUCUUUAUUACUGCAACAGUCUCUUGCCUUCCCACGUACACUGUGGGAGCACGGGGAGGGCUGUAAAUCAGUUUUGCAUGCAGGCUUGAUCCUGGCAUCUCCCGAAAGGGCUGGAAAAGAUCCCUACCUGAAACCCCAGACACCCCUGAGCUUGAUGGGCCAGUAGUCUAUUUUGGUAUAAGGCAGUUUCCUUUGUACCAUAUCGCGGAACUAAUGUUCAUUUUCCAAAAUGGUUGGCUGUGUCUGUGGCAUGCAUGACUCCAGAGCACCCCUGAGCAUUUGGAGCACAGCUGUGUGGUUCUUUGGAUCUUACCCCAUACAAUUAUACACCGGCACAAAUCAUACACAGUUCUACGGAAUGGGAGGAGGAGCUUUCUGAAAUGUAGCGUUAUUUUAAAAUGUGUUAUCUAGGUGGUGCCAUGCCUAAAUAGAGCACAGCAAAGACAGGCGGGUGGGUCCAGUGCGCUUGCUGUGCAUUGUUUGGGCUGCUUGUGGUCUGUCUAGACUCAUGACUUCUACUUGGUUUCUGACCGGCUGUGAUAUUUGUGCUCUUCCUCCCUGUCUUUAACAUCAGUGGAUGCUUGAGCCUCAACCGUAAAAUGACAGCAGUUGAGCUCAUGCUUGAAUUAUAAUAACAAUGGUUAAAUUAAGCUCUUGUGGGAGGGGGACUGAAAGGGUGAUGUGUAAUUUUCUGGACUGCUUUUUGUUCUUUUAUGUGCCUUCAUGAUGUCACCUGCUUUCUUUUGAGAAAUAGACCCUUUUGUUUGGUUUCCCCUUUUAUAUUUAGAAUUGUUGUCAAGCAUUUUCAGCACAGGAAUAGAUGGUUGCAUUUUCACUUUUCUUUUUUCCCCUUUUUUGUAAAAAAAAAUGGUUUUAUCAGUUCCAUUUUUGUAUAAAACACAUGGGAGAAACCUAGCCAAUCAACACAUAAAUUGCUGCUGCAUAACAAGGUACUUUUGUGUCAAACUUUGAAUCUAAAGAACAUACAAAUGUUUUAAGUCUACAAUCAUUUGUCUAUGCUCUUCCAUUUAACUAUUUUUUAAAAAAAAAAUAUAUCAGCAUAUCCCCAUAUUUCUUCUGUCCCAGUUACAGUACAAUGACAGCGAGGAAGAGGGUUGUUUAGAACUCCUCUCUAUGCAGUUUUCUGCUGCCCCUUCUUUCCAAUCAGAGACUUGUGGGUGUGAGGAAUUACACCUCCCCAGCAAUAGUAGCUUUAAUAAGGGAAUCCAAUUCCUCAUCACUACGAAUAGCAAGCUGCAAAUGACGAGGAGUGAUACGUUUUACCUUGAGAUCCUUGGAGGCAUUACCUGCCAGUUCCAAAACCUCUCAUGUAGAGUUGGACCUUAGAUGGAGGGUGUUGGUGGAAAUCUUUCUCAAGCAAAGGAAGGAAGGAAGGAAGUCCCUCCCUGCUCAUGGAAUCCCUAUUGCUAGGGGAUACAAAGAAGAAGAGGAGGAGUUUGGAUUUGAUAUCCCACCUUAUCACUAUCCGAAGGAGUGUUAAAGCGACUAACAUUCUCCUUUCCCUUCCUCCCCCACAACAAACACUCUGUGAGGUGAGUGGGGCUGAGAGACUUCAGAGAAGUGUGACUAGCCCAAGGUCACCCAGCAGCUGCAUGUGGAGGAGUGGAGAUGCGAACCCGGUUCCCCAGAUUAUGAGUCUACUGCUCUUAACCACUACACCAUACUGGCUCUCUCUCACAUCUUCAUCCAUUACACCUGGUGGACCACCUCUAAGAUUCUUGAAGCAAAUGCUUAAAAAUGUGGCUGAAUGAGACAAAAACUUGUGGGAGGAAACAUGUAUCAUACAGGGACAACUCAGGAGGCAGCCAAGGAUUGAACGUAUGGUUUCACACUCAGGGUUGUUGCAUGUAAUGGCUGCCAAACCCCUGAGCACAUAAAAGCUCUGGUGAGCAGAAGAAAAUAACUGCAGACACCUGUUUCUCCUGCAUUCCCCCCUCCCCGUCCCUAUUGGUUAGUUGGCGAUUGACCAAAUUAAGAGGUGCUCUUGGUUAAAUUGUUUGCAAGGGUUUCCAAAGGGGUAGCUUUGUUUGCCCAUCUCAGCAAAAAGAACCGAGAGUCUUGUGGCACAUUAGGGAAUAACAAAACCCCUUUUGUGCUGGGCUAGUGUGUCCCACUGCCCAGCCCUGCUGGUCUCCUGGCAGCCUCCAACUGCAGAGUGACAACGGUGUGACUCUACUGGUGUGAAGGUCUUGCUCAGGAUUCCUGCUGGUGUUGUCAAAUUCAUCUUAGACUUCCUUUACAGAGCUUUCCAGAGGCAGGAAGGAAGUGGAACUGAGCUGGCCCAGGCUCUGUUUUUUUGUUGUUGUUUACAACAAUGUUUUCCACACUAAAACCUGUUGUCAGGGACAUCUGCCCCACUCGCUUGCGUUCUGCAAUUAGUUUAAAUUAAUCCGACCAAUUAAGGUUUUCCACAGUCAUUUAUUGUAACUUUUCGAAAGCAGUUAAUUGGCAAAAAUGCUGCAAUUGGCUGACAGCUCUAUUAGAGAGUUCAGUCUGUCUGUCCAUCCCCCCCAGACUAAUUCAGCUGUUUGUGGGCAUCUGAGAAAGUGGGUGAGAACCAGCAGAAACUUAUUUUGCCAUAACAACAUUAUAGCAUACUAACUCGAAGGUGGGUUAUGUCUGCCCACCCAGAACAUACUAGAUCAAGUGGGUUUCAUAUGACUGAGUGGGAAUUUGAGCCAGGGUCUGCCAAGUCCAACGUUCAAGAGUGGGGAAAGUGUGGUUUUUUGGAUGUCACUGAACUACAACUCCCAUCAGCCCCUGCAAGCCCGUGUCGAGGGUUGAUGGAAGUUGUAGUUCAGCAACAUCUGGAAGGCAAAAGGUUCUUCACACCUUUUCUAACUGCUGCACCACAUGGUAACCUUUAUGUCCCCAUACCAGCAACCUGCCAUUUUGGAAAAUGCUUUGGGUGUCUCCCUGGGGACUUUCCAACUUCCUCCCCCACCCUUUUUGAUAGCUUUGAUGAGGUGGCUCCUGGCCAAGGAGCCUGUCACAGCGCCAAUGGGGACUCUAAACAUUAUGUUUAGGCUCACGGCAGCUCCUCCAAAGUACAUCUUUGCCAUUAAGAAGCCUGCUCAGAACGAAAACGUUCCAUCACUGCCCAGAAUGCACCCAUUGGCCCCGGGCCACUCAGUAUCGUUCCAGCAGGGCUGCUGUUCUUUAAAAAAUAAUUUCCAUGUUUUUAUUUCUGUGAUGUACCACCAUACAUGAAGCCCUAUUAAAUUCUUGGCCCACAGCACAGAACAGCCAUCUGGGUUUCAUUGAGCAGCGAAAUAAUAUGGUAAUUAAGAAACCGUGGUGGAGCCAGGGCUUGGGAGGCUAAAAAUAAAACCAAUUUCUGCAUGAGACAUUGUACCUCCGAGCUUCAUUCACUUCUCUCCCCCAGCCCCCAUUUUGCCAGCCAUGUGCCCCCUCCAGCAUCUCCCCCACCCACAACAGCCUGCUUUAUGCCCUUCUCACAAUAAUUAAUCUCUGCCAAAUUAAACAGCUUAUUUUUUUUCCAUUUCACAGUGUAUGGGGAGUAAAAUCCGGAGACUGCCCUGGGUCAGAAAGCAGGUACGCUUUUAAAAAGACACAAUGGCCACAUUCACGCCAUGCAUUGGAAGUGCUACGCUACCGCUUUAACCAGUCAUGACUUCCCUCCCAAAGAAUGCUGGGAGCUGUAGUUUGUUAAGGGUGCUGGGAGUUGAUAGGAGACCUCCCCCCCCCCCACUUCCCCUCACGGAUUAACAAUUCCCAGGGUUCCCUGGGAAGAGGGGUUGGGUGUUAAACCACGGUGGGAAACUUCACUGGUGGUUAGUUAAACCCAGGAGUCAUUGCACUGACUCUCACUUUGCCCCUGAAACCUGGAACCCACCCUGAAAACUUCAGUGUUUUCUGGCCCAGAGUACAGUGGUACCUCGGGUUAAGUACUUAAUUUGUUCCGGAGGUCCGUAUUUAACCUGAAACUGUUCUUAACCUGAAGCACCACUUUAGCUAAUGGGGCCUCCUGCUGCCGCUACACCACCGCAGCAUAAUUUCUGUUCUUAUCCUGAAGCAAAGUUCUUAACCUGAAGCACUAUUUCUGGGUUAGCGGAGUCUGUAACCUGAAGCAUAUGUAACCUGAAGCGUAUGUAACCCGAGGUACCACUGUAUUCAAGUUUUUCAUGGAUGCCAAAAGCAGAGAGCUCCUUUCUUGCAUCAUGCAGAUAACAUCACAUGUAAGCCGAGGGAUUUACAUAGGCAGCCUUAUCCAGAGGAGUACAAUGUGCUUGAUUCUCCUCCCUGAAAAAGAAAAAGUGGGACAGCUGAAGAAAUUUGCCUCCUGCACAGAUGAGCCCCUGCAUGGAAAAGCAGACACUCUUGAGAUGUUAUCUGCUCACCAGACCCAGGGAGUGCGGGAACAGCACUUAGUUGAAAAAGAUGACGGUCUGUUUCUGUCUACGGCGCUUAGCGUCUGCAGUCUCCUCCUGGAGUUGUGGCCUCUCCUGCAGUAGAAAACCAAGAGAUGCGAUGAAUAAAGAUGUUAACGUUUGGCCUUGCCAAAAGGGAGCCCAAAAGGGGUAGAUGCUUCCGCCCUUAUCCGACAUGGCUGAUCAAUGAACGGAAUGAAGACCCCCUCAGAUUGCCCUCUGGAUUAGCUUUUAGACACACAGCUCACAAGAAUUUAAGAAAUCCAACAGCCACUGCCUGGGCUGUGCUGGAUCGGGCAUGGGGGGCAGCGCACAGCUUUUAACACGGGUGGGGGAACCUUUUUUGGCUACCCUGUGGAUUGACUUUGACAGGUGGGCAGGGCAACCCACCUGUCAAUCACAUGGCACCACACCCGUCAAAAUCCUGUGCAUGGGGUUCCCAACUGAAAACCAGCUGGCUGGAACUUGGGAACCACAGCACAAGAAGGUCUUGCCAGCUCUAUGCACAGUCCUUUAGGAAGAACUGCACAUAGGGUUGGCAAAGCGCUUCUUUCUCACCUUCCCAUCAGGUGAUGGUGCUGAUCAUCUUGGGGAGAGGGGGUGCAGGGCCCUGGUUUCCCCCCUUCUCCCAGUGUGCAAUUAGUGCUAUCCAAGCUAAUAGUGUGACCCUCAAUUCUGGAUGAAUACAUGCUGAGAUUUGCUCAAGGAUCUGUGGGCUGAAGGAACAGUCUCUUGCAGAAGUUCCUCCAAAGUUUGCCUGUGAAUGCAUAAUGAUGAUUUCUAAUGAGAUAUCCACACAAUGGUAGUGAUACGGAUGGAUAUUUGGCAGCAGACAUAGGCUGGAGCUGGAUGAGAGGGCUAGUGAGAGGCUUUCCGCUCUCCUCUGCAUGCCCAUAUUCAUACCCAAAUUCUGAAUUCUGCUUCUGAAUCUGUCAGGCACAGUAGUCUUGGUUGCUACACAUGCAAAAAGGUGUGAGAUGAGAAGGAGAAUUGGUACAAUGGCUGAAGUUACCACAUAGGUUCUGAUGGCUUCUUGGAGCAGUAAUUUGUACCCACAAGGUGAGGGCUGUUUCAUAAAUGGAGGGUUGUAUGAUCUGCAACCACAGUCUAUUACCUUCUUCUUAUUCUGCUGGGUCCUCUUCUGCCCACGCUGACAAAGCAGUUUGCAAGGAGAGAACAGGCGGGCAGAUGUGGGGCAUUGAUAAUCAUCUUUGUUAUGACUACGGUGAUUUUGAUCCCAUAGUGUGUGAAGGCUUCUGAAACAAUAUGGUCGAAAUAGUCUUCUCUACUUUCCCAAAUAUGACAUAUUUCUCUAGUGAUCUCAUGGCCAUUGCAAGUCAUGUUUCUCUGUCAACAGUUUUCUGAAAGUCAAUGUGUCUACUUUGCAGUUAAAUAUCUUCCCAGACCUAGAUCCUAAAUGGAUAGAAGAAAGCCUUGCACAAGCCGGCAGGAGCCAUGCUAAGCUGCUCUCAGCUCUCAGUUUAGUCACCCCUCUGUGUACUGCAUCCCUCUCUGAUAAGCAAUAACCACAAGAAGGGAAAACAGCAAUCUGCAAAUACGCCAUUAGGUUUUGCGGGGGGUUGGUGGGGGGAGACGUCUAUGUCUGGACCGAUCUUUGUUUUUUAACCACAAUGUGCUCACCCCCCCAAAAAAAAACUUCUGAGUCAUUUCAAACUCUGGAGGCUGGAGUCAGCUCAACCACCAAAAAGGCUUUUGCAUGCCAAUGUCUGUUUUAUUUUCAUAUCUCAGGAAAGAUGCGGAGUCCUGACAACCUAAUGAGCUAACCAAAAGGCUUGACAAGCAAACGGAGGAAAUUUAUGUUAGCGCCCCGACAUCUGCAAUUCACAGAACCCUCAAUCAUUUCUUCACUUCGUGUGUGUGUGUGUGUGUGUGUGUGUGUGUGUGUGUGUGUUUCAGUGAUGGAUGCUUUCAGAUGAUAUCUCUAUCCCAUGGUGGUUGUGAUCAACGCAAGGUUUCUACAACAUUUAGGCAGUACCCCAAGCAUUUUUUUAAAGCAGAUUACCAUGCAUUCAAAGAAGGAAAAAUAUGAGUGUAUCUGGACCCUGCCCAGUGAAAGAACUCAUCUACUUCAGUAAACAGCACAGCAGCCAUGAGAGGUCAAAAUGGAGGACAAGAAUGGGAGGACAACUCGGAGCUACUUCGUGCAAGCUUCUUUACAGGAAGGGUCAGAGCAACCAAUCUGGCUCAAUUCCUGGCCUCUCCGGUUAGGGCUAGGAGAGACUCCUUGUCUGAAAUCCUUGAGAGAAGCUGCCUGCUAGUCUCUACAGUAUUGAGCUAGAUGGGCCAAGGGUCUGAGUCAGUAGGAGGCUGUAUAAUGAAGGGGACAGACACGCCUACCUCUGUGGAAAGUUUCACAACUUAGGGGCUGCCACCGAGAAUGAUCUCUCUUGCCCACUCCUGCCUGAGCUUCUGAGGGUGGUGGAACAACCAGGUAGGCACCCUCCACCAAUCUUAGCACCUGAGAGGGUCUGUAGGAGAGGACAAGGCCUUUCCCGUAUUUGAGACCCAAGUUCUUUGGGGCUUUAAACCUUGAACUAGGCCGGGAAACGAACUGGCAACCAGUACAGCUGCUUUAAAACAGGAGUUCCAUGAGAUCUGAAAAGAACCCCUGCCAGUAAUCUAGCUGCUGCAUUUUGGACCAAGUGAGUCAUCUUCAAGGACAGCCUCCUGUAGAACACAUUAUAAAAACCUAAUCUGGAAGUUGCCAGAGCAUGGAGCACAGGGGCCAAGUCACCUCCUUCCAGCAGGGACUGUAGCUGGAGAACCAGCUGUAACUGGAAAAAAGGCAUUGCAAGUCACUUGAACCUCCAGUCAGUGAUAGGAGCGCUCCAACACUGCAGACCUGCUGCUUCCAGGGGAUAGUAAUCCUGUCCAUAGCAGGCCAUCUUCCCAUCUCUCAGACAUGAGGACCUGGGACACAUAAAACCUCUGUAUUUUAUGAGGGUUCCCCCCCCCCCCCAGUUUACAGGCCCAUAUCCAGCCCAUCACCACCUAGGCAGCACAGCAAAGAUGCAAGAGGGAACUCCCUCUCCUUGGGGUAGCAGCUUGGUCAUCUGUUUGGCGCUGUGCUUUCCUAUUUGGCAGGAUGGAACCGAAGUGACCUAAUGACCUUGGGGUGUUUGCUCUCUCCCUGGGGCGCUUAGUCAUCUCUCUCAUCCUGCCAAGUGGUAAAGAAGAUUUCGCCACAUCAGCAGAUGGUUAUAUGCACAUGGUAAGUUUGUUGUCAAAUGGAAGAUGUCGAUGGCCAUCUGUACCCAGAACAUUUUUUUGGAGGUAUUCAAAUGGAUGCCGGAAAGCACCGCUGGAGUCUCAUAAUGAGGCCUGUUUUGAGCCCACCAUUUUGACAAAGCAAGGAAUUUCCUGCAAUUAUCGUUAUAAUUGUUACAAAUUGAUUGUAGGCUGCUGUGGGCUUCUCCAGACAACCUAUUGAGCGAGAUUUGUCUUUAACUGCUUGCCCGAAGCUUAGACUAUGCCUGGUCGUUAUUGAACAUUUGUUCUGAUUUAUUUGUGGAAUCUUCAUAGAUCUGUAGAGUUGGAAAGGACCCUGAGAGAUGCUCCUGCAGGAAUCUUUUGUCCAACAAGGGGCUCGAACACAUGACCUUGAGAUUAAGAGUUUCAUGCUCUACUGACUGAGCUAUCCAAGUUGGUGGUCAUCACAGCCUCCUACCUGAGUAACUUCCAUGGCUUAACUAUGUGCUGCAUGAUGGAACAGAUUUGUGAAUGGGUAGCGGGUGGCGCUGUGGGUUAAACCACUGAGCCUCUCAGGCUUGCUGAUCAGAAGGUCGGUGGUUUGAAUCCCCGUGACGGGGUGAGCUCCCGUUGCUCGGUCCCAGCUCCUGCCAACCUAGCAGUUCAAAAGCACAUCAAAGUGCAAGUAGAUAAAUAGGUACUGCUCCGGUGGGAAGGUAAAUGGUGUUUCCGUGCACUGCUCUGGUUCGCCAGAAGCGGCUUAGUCAUGCUGGCCACAUGACCCAGAAGCUCCCUCGGCCAGUAAAGUGAGAUGAGUGCCGCAACCCCAGAGUCGUCUGUGACUGGACCUAAUGGCCAGGGGUACCUUUACCUUUAGCAAUAGCUCCAUAUUGCUCCCAUGUUAGCUGCUACAGGCACAUUGCUUAUUUCUCCCCUAAGAAAUACAGACUUGGAUAGGGCUGGUAUAUACAGUGGUACUUCGGGUUAAGUACUUAAUUCAUUCUGGAGGUCAGUUCUUAACCUGAAACUGUUCUUAACCUGAAGCACCACUUUAGCUAAUGGGGCCUCCUGCUGCUGCCGUGCUGCCGGAGCAUGAUUUCUGUUCUCAUCCUGAAGCAAAGUUCUUAACCUGAAGCACUAUUUCUGGGUUAGCGGAGUCUAUAACCUGAAGCGUAUGAAACCUGAAGCGUAUGUAACCUGAGGUACCACUGUACCAAAAAAUCCCCAGCUGUUGAAAUGUACCAAACACUCUGCCCAAUUUUGCAGUGCUGUUAAAUCUUUGUCCCUUGGUUGACCUAUGGUUUUAGGAGCUGAUGACUCAAGGAUGACUCAGCAUCCCCAUUGCUGCUCUGCUCCUGCUCCUCAGCAACCAACAGCAAAACGAGCCCAGCUGGAGGUUGGUUCCUGCACCAGGUUUCCGCAGAAGUUCAUUUACUGGUCCGCUGCUGUUCAAUAUCCUUAUUCAUUAGUGUCAAGGAAUGUAGACUGGAGAUUGGGCUGAUCAAAUUUGUGGCUGGUACAAACCUAAGAGGGAUCUUGGAUUCUUGAGAAGAUAACAGCAGGAUUAAAACCCUUAGCAUAAAUAGCUUUUCAUAAAUGAGAAAAAACUGGGUCAAUAUAAAUAAAUCACGACUCAUGUAAGAGGUUCGCAUGGGGGCUGAACUGCAAGCAACGGGCACAAAUACUGGAUUGGUGAGGGGAGCACAGCAGUGGGGCAGGAGAGUCAAAGAGAGAAGGGCAACAGAAUCAUUUUAGCUCAUGGUGGGAGAUGCACUGGACAUGAAUCAGUGCUAUGAGGCCACAGUCAAAAUGCUCCCUGGUCAGGCAUAACGCUGCAUUUACAAAAAACAAACAAACCAAGGCAUGUAAACAGUGAAAUCAUUAUUCUGCCCUGCUUAGUUCUGGUUAAUGGUAUUACAAAUACAGGAAGAAAGAGCACAACCAGAAUAGCUCUGCUCUCUUCUUCUUUUACAGUAAGGUAAAUUGGUUUCAAGCAUUCACAGUCCUCAGCUGACAUCGUCAAUUGAAGCAAGAACCAGGAGGUCACCGAAUCAGAAUAGCAAAAUGGACUCAAAACCACAAACGCAGGUGCCAUGAUCCAGG